This 484-nucleotide ribosomal RNA is filed under the name uncultured bacterium. RNAcentral describes it as "partial 16S ribosomal RNA". It matches the Rfam family "Bacterial small subunit ribosomal RNA", at positions 29 to 507 of the family's 1533-position model. The record is from RNAcentral.
AGUGAACGCUGGCGGCAGGCCUAACACAUGCAUGUCGAGCGGCAGCGGGUCCUUCGGGCUGCCGGCGAGCGGCGGACGGGUGAGGAAUGCGUCGGAAUCUGCCUUUUUGUGGGGGAUAACGUAGGGAAACUUACGCUAAUACCGCAUACGACCUACGGGUGAAAGUGGGGGACCGCAAGGCCUCACGCAGAAAGAUGAGCCGACGUCGGAUUAGCUAGUUGGCGGGGUAAAGGCCCACCAAGGCGACGAUCCGUAGCUGGUCUGAGAGGAUGAUCAGCCACACUGGAACUGAGACACGGUCCAGACUCCUACGGGAGGCAGCAGUGGGGAAUAUUGGACAAUGGGCGCAAGCCUGAUCCAGCCAUGCCGCGUGUGUGAAGAAGGCCUUCGGGUUGUAAAGCACUUUUGUCCGGAAAGAAAUCCUGUCGGCUAAUACCCGGCGGGGAUGACGGUACCGGAAGAAUAAGCACCGGCUAACUUCGUG